GGAAAAAGGAAAGAAGCAAUCCCUGGGAGUCUCGGACCCUGUCGCACCACAGUGCCCCGUAGGUGAAGCCAACGUGCAGAUGUAGAGUGAAUGAGGCCAGAGUGGGACCUCUGAGGUUGUCCUAGCUCUACCUGGGGAUGGGGGAGAUGCUGACCACAAUGUGGGAAGCUGACCCAGAUCCAGUCCUGGAUGUGAAGCCAGGAUCCUGGGGAAAUUCUCCUCAAUCACCUGGCCUUCUGUCGGCCUGACUUUUGGAAUCCAUGAACUAACUCUUCAUUCAGAGAGCAUGUACAUGUUAGCUGUCAAACAGCGCAUGCAGCCCCUGACAGCCCUAAUAUCACUGUUUGUAUUAUCAGACAAUUACCAGCCGAGCUCGUAUUCAUAAUUUGACUAACAACUCGCGACAAUGAUUAUUUUUCCUUUCCUGGCAAAACAAAUAUAGCAGCAUUUUCUUUUCAGCAUCAGCGCUGAUGCUCCUUGGCAUUCUAUCAGCUGAAGGAUUUUUUUUUCGGAAAAAAAAAAAUGUUAGUCGUACUCCCCCACAUCUCGCUAACUUUACAGUCCCCCAUGGCAUCUGUGUGCAGUGAACUGAGCUGUUGAGACUAAAUGUAAUUUGCAAUCAAGCUUCUGUUAACAUGGAAAUGUACCGGCUGGUCUGCUGCAAUAUGGGUU
This is a non-coding RNA of Vicugna pacos (alpaca), 672 nucleotides long. NCBI's taxonomy places the organism in Eukaryota, Metazoa, Chordata, Mammalia, Artiodactyla, Camelidae. The record is from RefSeq and is a predicted model, not a curated record.